Molecule: transfer RNA, 72 nt
Filed under: Fusarium sp. AF-6
Lineage: Eukaryota; Fungi; Ascomycota; Sordariomycetes; Hypocreales; Nectriaceae
Also listed under: 2 other names
Rfam family: tRNA
About the family: Transfer RNA (tRNA) molecules are approximately 80 nucleotides in length.
Source: Rfam by way of RNAcentral
GCCCUGUUGGCCAAGUGGUAAGGCGUCGCACUCGUAAUGCGAAGAUCGUCGGUUCGAUUCCGACACCGGGCA